ACCAGACUCCUACGGGAGGCAGCAGUGGGGAAUAUUGCACAAUGGGGGGAACCCUGAUGCAGCGACGCCGCGUGAGUGAAGAAGUAUUUCGGUAUGUAAAGCUCUCUCAGCAGGGAAGAUAAUGACGGUACCUGACUAAGAAGCCCCGGCUAACUACGUGCCAGCAGCCGCGGUAAUACGUAGGGGGCAAGCGUUAUCCGGAUUUACUGGGUGUAAAGGGUGCGUAGGUGGCAGGGCAAGUCAGAUGUGAAAGCCCGGGGCCCAACCCCGGUACUGCAUUUGAAACUGUCCGGCUGGAGUGCAGGAGAGGUAAGCGGAAUUCCUAGUGUAGCGGUGAAAUGCGUAGAUAUUAGGAGGAACACCAGUGGCGAAGGCGGCUUACUGGACUGUAACUGACACUGAGGCACGAAAGCGUGGGGAGCAAACAGGAUUAGAUACCCUAGUA
This 445-nucleotide ribosomal RNA is filed under the name uncultured bacterium. Its description in RNAcentral is "bacterial SSU rRNA". It matches the Rfam family "Bacterial small subunit ribosomal RNA", at positions 330 to 792 of the family's 1533-position model. The record is from RNAcentral.